UUUUUAUUCUAAUUGUGGGGCCCACCUUCCUUUCUUCUUCUUCUACCUUCACACCAAUCUCCUCAAAAUAUCCAAACACCAUCGCCAACAAGCUGAAGAAGAGGACCAAGAAUCAUCUCCGGCGACGGCUCAUGACGCCCCCAUCGUUUCCCCCUACAACGCCCGGAUCCGGCCACUGCUGGACACCGUAGACAAGCUGCGCCACCUCAAGAUCAUGCAGGAAGGCAUCCAGCUCCCCAUCAUCGUCGUCGUCGGCGACCAGUCCUCCGGCAAAUCCAGCGUCCUCGAAUCCCUCGCCGGCAUCCGCCUCCCCCGCGGCGACGGCAUCUGCACCAGAGUCCCUCUCAUCAUGAGGCUCAAGAAUCACCCGAGCCCCGAGCCUCAGCUCUCCCUCGAAUUCAACGGCAGAACCGUUCAAACCGACGAAGCCAACGUCAUCGACGAGAUCAUGUACACCACUCAGGAAAUCGCCGGCAAAUGGAAGGGGAUCUCCAACACCAUGAUCGAUCUCCCCGAAAUCACUAGGGUUCCAGUCAAGAGCCAACCUCUUUGUCAGAAACCGCAUCGGCGACGAGACUUAUGAAAAAGUGAGGGAUGAAGAAGCCAACCUCUUCGACAAUAAUCCCCUGCUUUCGAGGAGAAGAAGAGGAAGGAGAAUGCGGUAGCGGCGGGGAGAGCGACUGCGGUGGAGAUGACGAGGGAGAUGAAUAUGAGGGUGGCAGCAGCGGUUUUCCUGGAGGAGUGGGGGUGGGAGGCGGUGGAUAGGAGGGCGGAGAAGCCAUUAGUGUAAAGGUAGAAGAAGAAGAAAGGAAGGUGGGCCCCACAAUUAGAAUAAAAAAUAAAUAAAAAAUUAACUAACUAACGGUUGACUGACGGNGUACCAAAAUCGAACAUUUAACCCCCUCCGCCCUAACUCCGUCAGUCAACCGUUAGUUAGUAAUUUUUAUUCUAAUUGUGGGGCCCACCUUCCUUUCUUCUUCUUCUACCUUCACACCAAUCUCCUCAAAAUAUCCAAACACCAUCGCCAACAAGCUAGAAGAAGAGGACCAAGAAUCAUCUCCGGCGACGGCUCAUGACGCCCCCAUCGUUUCCCCCUACAACGCCCGGAUCCUGGCCACUGUUGGACACCGUAGACAAGCUGCGCCACCUCAAGAUCAUGCAGGAAGGCAUCCAGCUCCCCAUCAUCGUCGUCGUCGCCGACCAGUCCUCCGGCAAAUCCAGCGUCCUCGAAUCCCUCGCCGGCAUCCGCCUCCCCCGCGGCGACGGCAUCUGUACCAGAGUCCCUCUCAUCAUGAGGCUCAAGAAUCACCCGAGCCUCGAGCCUCAGCUCUCCCUCGAAUUCAACGGCAGAACCGUUCAAACCGACGAAGCCAACGUCAUCGACGAGAUCAUGUACACCACUCAGGAAAUCGCCGGCAAAG
RNAcentral lists this long non-coding RNA (1421 nucleotides) under Salvia miltiorrhiza (redroot sage). RNAcentral's name for it is "long non-coding RNA (SMIL_LNC006474)". The record is from RNAcentral. Lineage: Eukaryota; Viridiplantae; Streptophyta; Magnoliopsida; Lamiales; Lamiaceae.